UGCCAGCCGCCGCGGUAAUACGGAGGGUGCAAGCGUUAAUCGGAAUUACUGGGCGUAAAGCGCGCGUAGGCGGUUUGAUAAGCCAGAUGUGGAAGCCCCGGGCUUAACCUGGGAACUGCAUUUGAAACUGUCUAACUAGAGUGUGGUAGAGGGAGGUGGAAUUCAGCGUGUAGCGGUGAAAUGCGUAGAGAUGCUGAGGAACACCAGUGGCGAAGGCGGCCUCCUGGACCAACACUGACGCUGAGGUGCGAAAGCGUGGGGAGCAAACAGGAUUAGAUA
This 279-nucleotide ribosomal RNA is filed under the name uncultured bacterium. Its description in RNAcentral is "partial 16S ribosomal RNA". It matches the Rfam family "Bacterial small subunit ribosomal RNA", at positions 506 to 784 of the family's 1533-position model. The record is from RNAcentral.